AACGUUGGUACCUGCCCUUUAGUGGGGAGUAACUCCGGGAAACCGGGGCUAAUACCGCAUGUGAUCGCAAGAUCAAAGCAGCAAUGCGCUAAAGGAGGGGCCUGCGUCUGAUUAGCUAGUUGGUAGGGUAAAAGCCUACCAAGGCAACGAUCAGUAGCUGGAUCGAGAGGUUGACCAGCCACACUGGGACUGAGAUACGGCCCAG
This 205-nucleotide ribosomal RNA is filed under the name uncultured bacterium. Its description in RNAcentral is "partial 16S ribosomal RNA". It matches the Rfam family "Bacterial small subunit ribosomal RNA", at positions 114 to 334 of the family's 1533-position model. The record is from RNAcentral.